GGACAUCACUAGGAUUGAAAGACAGGGGGUGCUUAGCCCCCAGGGUAUUUGUAAAUUGUGUUUGCACAAUCUUUGCACUCACAUCUUUUGUUACUGUAUUAGAGCCACACUUAUGUCAACAACCAGUCAACAAACCAAGAUGUUAACAAUAAUAAUCAAAAAGGGACAGAGA
Molecule: long non-coding RNA, 172 nt
Organism: Etheostoma cragini (Arkansas darter)
Lineage: Eukaryota; Metazoa; Chordata; Actinopteri; Perciformes; Percidae
Exons: 3
Source: RefSeq, a predicted model, not a curated record